AUGUUCAUUGGGAAGAUACCACCACAGCUUGGUAACCUCUCCAACUUACAAUACUUAUUUCUUGCGUCCUCACGCUGGAAUGUUGGUUAUUAUUCUUUCUAUAAUGGCACAUACUCCACAGAUAUCACCUGGUUGUCACAGUUAACUAUCCUGGAGUACCUGGAUAUGACCUUGGUGAACCUCAGUACAAUUAUUCACUGGCUUCCGGUGGUGAACAUGCUUCCUACUCUGAAAUUUCUUCGUCUUUUCGCUUGCCAACUUAGAACCUGCCCUGAUUCUCUUCAGCUCUCAAAUCUGACAUCUAUUGAAACACUCGACCUUUCGGAAAACGACUUCCAUAAGCGUAGCAGGCCCAACUGGUUCUGGGAUUUAACUAGCCUCAAGUAUCUAGAUAUCUCGGAAAAUGGUUUCUAUGGCCCGUUUCCAGACGAGAUAGGUAAUAUGACCGCCAUUGUGGAGCUUGAUUUCAUAGAGAAUAACCUUGUGGGCAUGAUACCUUCCAGUAUGAAGAACCUAUGUAAUUUGGAGAAACUGUCUUCUGCUGGCAACAAUAUGAACGGGAGUAUAACAAAAUUAUUCCAUCGAUUACCCAAUUGUUCAUGGAAUAAACUACAAGGUUUGUUUCUAGGGGAGAGUAAUCUAACUGGAAGCCUGCCAUCUGCACCGGUACAAAGAUUAAGCAACCUGAGCCAGCUGUAUCUCGCUCACAACAGCCUCACUGGUCACGUGCCACUGUGGAUAGGAGAGCUCACAAAACUAAAAAGUUUGGUCCUUAUCUCCAACAACCUGGAUGGCGUCAUCCAUGAAGGCCAUUUAUCACGUCUUGAGAAUUUAAAGGAACUUGUAUUGUCAGACAAUUCCAUAGCCAUCAGAGUGAGUCCAAAAUGGGUUCCUCCUUUUAGUCUGGAAUAUAUUCACCUUCGUUCCUGUCAGCUAGGGCCCAAGUUUCCAACGUGGCUUAGAUGGCAAACACAUGCAAGUAGUCUUGAUAUAUCAAACACAAGCAUAAGUGACAUGAUACCGGAUUGGUUUUGGAUAUCAGCUUCCUCAGUAAAGUUUCUGAAUAUCCAAAAUAAUCAGAUCACAGGAGCCCUACCAUCAACAAUGGAAUUUAUAUCCGGAAAAGAAAUGGAUUUCAGUUCUAACCAGCUUGGUGGUCCAAUACCUAAGCUUCCCAUCAAUAUAACCGGCCUAGAUCUCAGUCAAAACAAUUUAGUUGGCCCACUACCAUUAGACUUUGGAGCACCAAGACUUGAAACACUUCUUCUAUAUAACAAUAUGAUCUCCGGCGCCAUUCCAUCUUCUUUUUGCAAGUUGCGAUCAUUGCAGUUGUUAGAUCUAUCAGGAAAUAAUCUCAAUGGGUCAAUUACUAAUUGCCUAGUCAAUGAGUCCAACACAAACAUGACAGGUCUGAGUAUCACUAAUCUAAGCUUAAGAAACAACAACCUCUCAGGUGCAUUUCCUUUGCUGCUGCAGAAAUGUACACGACUCAUCUUUCUUGAUCUCAGCAAUAAUCAGUUCUCUGGGACUUUACCAGCAUGGAUUGGGGAGAAGCUAUUGUCUUUGUCAUUCUUACGGUUGAGAUCCAAUAUGUUUUAUGGUCACAUUCCAGUUGAGCUUACAAAGCUUGUUACUCUGCAAUAUUUGGACCUUGCAUACAACAAUAUAUCAGGGAGCAUACCGAGAUCUAUUAGUAAUUGCACAGGCAUGGCACAAACAAGAGGCAACUCUGAUAAUCUUCGGUAUGCCUUCAAUUAUAUAUCUGGGGUUAAUGACAAUGUACUAGUUGUCUACAGUGAGAAUUUCACAGUACUCACGAAAGGUCAAGAGAGACUAUAUACAGGAGAAAUCAUAUAUAUGGUGAAUCUUGAUUUAUCUUGUAAUAGUAUUACCGGAGAGAUCCCUGCAGAAAUUGGCGCUCUUGUAGCAUUGAAGAACCUGAACUUAUCAUGGAACAACUUCAUCAGAAAAAUCCCUGGGAAUAUUGGCGCCUUAAUUCAAGUGGAGUCACUUGACCUAUCACACAAUGAUUUGUCUGGUGAAAUCCCUUCGAACUUAUCAGCUCUCACGUCACUGAGUCGCUUGAACCUAUCCUACAACAAUCUGAGAGGAAAGAUACCAACAGGAAAUCAACUGCAAACACUCGAAGACCCAGAAUCUAUUUAUAUCGGCAACCCGGGCCUUUGUGGCCCUCCACUAUCGUGGAAUUGUCCAGAGCCUGAGCUAGUUCCAUCUACUCGAGACCGAGAGCACCAGGAAGAUGGAAGCAGUGACAUGGUUUUGCUUUUGUUUGUCAUAGGUUCUGGAUAUGUGAUGGGUCUAUGGGUGGUCUUCUGCACCUUCUUGUUCAAGAGAAGAUGGAGUGCUGCUUGGUACUUGCUCUGUGAUAGCCUGUAUGACCGGGUUUAUCUGCAAGUGGCUGUUACCUGGGCUUCCUUGAGAGGUAAAAUUAAUGGAUAG
Molecule: ribosomal RNA, 2460 nt
Filed under: Triticum aestivum (bread wheat)
Lineage: Eukaryota; Viridiplantae; Streptophyta; Magnoliopsida; Poales; Poaceae
Description: partial small subunit ribosomal RNA
Source: RNAcentral